RNAcentral lists this ribosomal RNA (1069 nucleotides) under uncultured organism. RNAcentral describes it as "bacterial SSU rRNA". It matches the Rfam family "Bacterial small subunit ribosomal RNA", at positions 188 to 1263 of the family's 1533-position model. The record is from RNAcentral.
CAUCUUUUAUUGAUUAAAGCUCCGGCGGUUAGAGAUGGGCAUGCGUGUCAUUAGCUAGUUGGUGAGGUAACGGCUCACCAAGGCCACGAUGACUAGGGGGUCUGAGAGGAUGAUCCCCCACACUGGUACUGAGACACGGACCAGACUCCUACGGGAGGCAGCAGUGAGGAAUAUUGGGCAAUGGACGCAAGUCUGACCCAGCCAUGCCGCGUGCAGGAUGACUGCCCUAUGGGUUGUAAACUGCUUUUGUUUGGGAAGAAACCCCCGAUCGUGAUCGGGGCUGACGGUACCAUACGAAUAAGCAUCGGCUAACUCCGUGCCAGCAGCCGCGGUAAUACGGAGGAUGCAAGCGUUAUCCGGAUUCAUUGGGUUUAAAGGGUGCGCAGGCGGAAUAUUAAGUCAGUGGUGAAAUCCUGCAGCUUAACUGUAGAACUGCCAUUGAUACUGAUAUUCUUGAAUAUAGUUGAGGUGGGCGGAAUGUGUAAUGUAGCGGUGAAAUGCUUAGAUAUUACACAGAACACCAAUUGCGAAGGCAGCUCACUAAACUAAUAUUGACGCUGAGGCACGAAAGCGUGGGUAGCAAACAGGAUUAGAUACCCUGGUAGUCCACGCUGUAAACUAUGAUCACUCGCUGUUGGCAAUACAUCGUCAGCGGCUGAGCGAAAGCAUUAAGUGAUCCACCUGGGGAGUACGGUCGCAAGAUUGAGACUCAAAGGAAUUGACGGGGGCCCGCACAAGCGGAGGAACAUGUGGUUUAAUUCGAUGAUACGCGAGGAACCUUACCUGGGCUUAAAUGCAGAGCGACGUCCGCCGAAAGGUGGAUUCCUUCGGGCGAUCUGCAAGGUGCUGCAUGGUUGUCGUCAGCUCGUGCCGUGAGGUGUCGGGUUAAGUCCCAUAACGAGCGCAACCCUUAUCGUUAGUUGCCAGCGGGUAAUGCCGGGGACUCUAACGAAACUGCCGGUGUAAACCGUGAGGAAGGUGGGGAUGACGUCAAAUCAGCACGGCCCUUAUGUCCAGGGCUACACACGUGUUACAAUGGUCGGUACAGAGGGCAGCUACCACGCAAGUG